UCCGACUUGACGUCGGCAGUCUCGUUAGAGUGCCCCACUUAAGGCUGGCAACUAACGACAGAGGUUGCGCUCGUUGCGGGACUUAACCCAACAUCUCACGACACGAGCUGACGACAGCCAUGCAGCGCCUUCUCACCAGUUCCCCGAAGGGCACCCCGACAUCUCUGCCAGGUUCUGGUGGAUUUAACCCAGGUAAGGUUCUUCGCGUUGCAUCGAAUUAAGCCACAUGCUCCGCCGCUUGUGCGGGUCCCCGUCAAUUCCUUUGAGUUUUAGCCUUGCGGCCGUACUCCCCAGGCGGGGUGCUUAAUGCGUUAGCUUCGGCACGGAGAGGGUUGAAGACCUCCCCACACCUAGCACCCAACGUUUACGGCUGGGACUAC
This 380-nucleotide unclassified non-coding RNA is filed under the name uncultured bacterium. Its description in RNAcentral is "contains 16S-23S intergenic spacer region". The record is from RNAcentral.